Molecule: ribosomal RNA, 1373 nt
Filed under: Lutztrema sp. JA-2018
Lineage: Eukaryota; Metazoa; Platyhelminthes; Trematoda; Plagiorchiida; Dicrocoeliidae
Description: eukaryotic LSU rRNA
Rfam family: Eukaryotic large subunit ribosomal RNA
Source: RNAcentral
UUAGGUCGACCCGCUGAAUUUAAGCAUAUCACUAAGCGGAGGAAAAGAAACUAACAAGGAUUCCCUCAGUAACGGCGAGUGAACAGGGAAGAGCCCAGCACCGAAGCCUGUGGCCAGUUGGUCAUUAGGCAAUGUGGUGUUUAGGUCGUUCCGCAGAAGUACUGCUCCACCCCAAGUCCAUCAAUGAGUACGGUAGUACAGACAUGGCCCAUGGAGGGUGAAAGGCCCGUUCGGGUGGAGAUUCGGCAGGCCAGUGCUUCUCUGGAUAGACCUUGGAGUCGGGUUGUUUGUGAAUGCAGCCCAAAGUGGGUGGUAAACUCCAUCCAAGGCUAAAUACAAGCACGAGUCCGAUAGCGAACAAGUACCGUGAGGGAAAGUUGAAAAGUACUUUGAAGAGAGAGUUAACAGUGCGUGAAACCGCUCAGAGGUAAGCAGGUGGAGUUGAACUGCAAGCUUUGAGAAUUCAGCUGGUGAGGUUGGUUUGAGCUUGGUCAAAUUGGUUGGACUCCGGGGUACGUCAACCCACGUGUCUUCACCCUCUGGGUGGGGAUUUGCGAUGCACUUAUCAGGUGCUGCAUGCCUCGGUUGUUCUUCGAGCCUCCUUGCCAGUGCACUUUCUCGGAGUGGUCACCACGACCGACGCCGCUGUCAGACUGUCAUAGUUAAACCGGUCUUGUAGUGUCCUUGUGGCAUUGCCUGGUCGGGAUGGCAGGUAGCUUGUUGGCUUGCUUCGGCUUGCCUUCGAGUGUAAUCAGCUGACUGUGAUGGUUCUGUGCAGUGCGUUGGAGACGGCGGCUAGUGGUGUGUGCAUGCGUGCUCGAUCUGCUGGCGUAUCCUGGUUUGGUUCCUAUGUUGCUUGCGACAGCAGGCCUAGUUAUGGCUGGGAUUCGUUCGGUGGAUGGUUGCGUGUGUGGCACUUCCAAGGGCCAAUAGUCUGUGGUGUAGUGGUAGACUAUCCACCUGACCCGUCUUGAAACACGGACCAAGGAGAGUAACAUGUGCGCGAGUCAUUGGGCGUAACGAAACCCACAGGCGCAGUGAAAGUAAAGGUUUGGCUUGUCCAGACUGAGGUGAGAUCCUGUCGUUUCCCACGCGCGGUAUCACCAAGCACGGAGCGGCAGGCGCAUCACCAGCCCGUCACAUGACGUAGUCUCAUCUUCGGAUUGUGCAUCGUCGUGGCGGAGCAUGAGCGUACAUGUUGAGACCCGAAAGAUGGUGAACUAUGCUUGCGCAGGUUGAAGCCAGAGGAAACUCUGGUGGAGGACCGCAGCGAUUCUGACGUGCAAAUCGAUCGUCAAACGUGAGUAUAGGGGCGAAAGACUAAUCGAACCAUCUAGUAGCUGGUUCCCUCCGAAGUUUCCCUCAGGAUAGCA